This 34-nucleotide ribosomal RNA is filed under the name Eimeria acervulina. RNAcentral describes it as "putative large subunit ribosomal RNA". Lineage: Eukaryota; Apicomplexa; Conoidasida; Eucoccidiorida; Eimeriidae. The record is from RNAcentral. RNAcentral also lists the same sequence under 19 other names.
AGAGUUGACCGUGAAAUCCAUACAAAGAUAAAAC